AGAGUUUGAUCAUGGCUCAGAUUGAACGCUGGCGGAAUGCUUUACACAUGCAAGUCGAACGGCAGCACGGGUGCUUGCACCUGGUGGCGAGUGGCGAACGGGUGAGUAAUGCACCGGAACGUAUCCAAUAAUGGGGGAUAACGCACCGAAAGGUGUGCUAAUACCGCAUACGCCCUGAGGGGGAAAGCGGGGAUCGUAAGACCUCGCGUUAAUGGAGCGGCCGAUGCCGGAUUAGCUAGUUGGUGAGGUAAAGGCUCACCAAGGCGACGAUCCGUAGCUGGUCUGAGAGGACGACCAGCCACACUGGAACUGAGACACGGUCCAGACUCCUACGGGAGGCAGCAGUGGGGAAUUUUGGACAAUGGGCGCAAGCCUGAUCCAGCCAUUCCGCGUGAGUGAAGAAGGCCUUCGGGUUGUAAAGCUCUUUCGCAAGGAAAGAAAACUUAUCUCCUAAUACGAGGUGAGGUUGACGGUACCUUGAUAAGAAGCACCGGCUAACUACGUG
This 505-nucleotide ribosomal RNA is filed under the name uncultured bacterium. RNAcentral's name for it is "bacterial SSU rRNA". It matches the Rfam family "Bacterial small subunit ribosomal RNA", at positions 8 to 507 of the family's 1533-position model. The record is from RNAcentral.